RNAcentral lists this non-coding RNA (28 nucleotides) under Rattus norvegicus (Norway rat). The record is from RNAcentral. Lineage: Eukaryota; Metazoa; Chordata; Mammalia; Rodentia; Muridae.
UGCCAUGAUGGAUGCAGAUGCAGUUGCC